ACUCUAUCAAUUUCCUGGAGUUCUCAGCACCAGCCAUGGUGUCUCUCUUCUCAGUGUCUUAUUUCAGCCUGCAUCUGUGUUUACAGGAUUACCCUCACCCUCCUCAACUCUCUAACUCCUGCUUGCUUCAUUUACCACUUCCUCGAGGAAACCUUCUGUCACCUUUCCAGGUGGUUACAAUUCAGAUGACUGGAUGGAUUUUACCCAAUAUGACUGGUUUUA
This 222-nucleotide long non-coding RNA is filed under the name Homo sapiens (human). RNAcentral's name for it is "non-protein coding lnc-TENM3-5:1". The record is from RNAcentral. Lineage: Eukaryota; Metazoa; Chordata; Mammalia; Primates; Hominidae.